CAAGCCCCGCCCCCUUUAGGCCCCGCCCCUCACCGGUUCCAAACUGGGGGUCGACGAAGGCGUCCAUGAUGAUUGGCAGGCUCUGCCCGGUGAACGGGUGCACCACGCGCCGACCAAUCAGGUGCUGGGGGGGCGGGGCAACGCUGUCAUCCAUUGGCCACGCCCCCACCCCACGCCCGGAAGUCCCGCCCAUUGCUUCCCAGCCCCUCCUCCCCCCCCGCAUCCCUUUCCUCAUUAGGGUAACGAGCGGGGCAAUUAAUGGUGGGAAUUAAUGGGGAUCUGUGGGUCUGCCCCAUAGAGAGUCACCCAUGGGGCUCUAUGGGAUCUGUGGGGCUCUAUGGGUCGCUAUGGGAUCUAUGGGGAUCCAUGGGGCUCUAUGGGAUCUAUGGGGCUCUAUGGGGCUCCAUGGGGCUCUAUGGGAUCUAUGGGUCACCAUGAGAUCUGUGGGGAUCCAUGGGAUCUAUGGGAUCUAUGGGGCUCCAUCUAUGGGAUCUAUGGGGCUCUAUGGGAUCUAUGGGGCUCUAUGGGUCACUAUGGGAUCUAUGGGGCUCUAUGGGUCACUAUGGGAUCUAUGGGUCACUAUGGGUCACUAUAGGAUCUAUGGGGCUCUAUGGAUUGCUCCAUCUAUGGGAUCUAUGGGGCUCUAUGAGUUACUAUGGGAUCUGUGGGGCUCUAUGGGUUGCUAUGGGAUCUAUGGGGCUCUAUGGGGCUCUNNNNNNNNNNNNNNNNNNNNNNNNNNNNNNNNNNNNNNNNNNNNNNNNNNNNNNNNNNNNNAUGGGGCUCCAUCUAUGGGAUCUAUGGGGCUCUAUGAGUCACUAUGGGAUCUGUGGGGCUCUAUGGGUUGCUAUGGGAUCUAUGGGGCUCUAUGGGAUCUAUGGGGCUCUAUGGGUCACUAUGGGAUCUAUGAAUCGCUAUGGGUCUCCAUGGGGCUCUGUGGGAUCUAUGGGAUCUAUGGGGAUCUAUGGGGCUCUAUGGGAUCUAUGGGUCACCAUGGGAUCCAUGGGUCACUAUGGGAUCUAUGGGGCUCUAUGGGAUCCAUGGGUCACUAUGGGAUCUAUGGGGCUCUAUGGGAUCUAUGGGUCACAUGGGAUCUAUGGGUUGCUAUGGGAUCUGUGGGGCGCCAUGGAUCCCUAUGGGAUCGAUGGGGCUCUAUAGGUCACUAUAGGAUCUAUGGGAUCUAUGGGUCACCAUGGGAUCUAUGGGGCGCUAUGGGAUCUAUGGGGCUCUAUGGGCUGCUAUAGGAUCUAUGGGGCUCCAUCUAUGGGAUCUAUGAGUCUCUAUGGGGCUCUAUGAGAUCUAUGGGGCUCUAUGGGUCGCUAUGGGAUCUAUGGGGCUCCAUCUAUGGGAUCUAUGGGGCUCUAUGGGAUCUAUGGAGCUCUAUGGGUCACCAUGGGAUCUAUGGGUCAUUAUGGGAUCCGUGGGGAUCUAUGGGUUGCUAUGGGAUCUAUGGGUCCCUAUGGGAUCUGUGGGUCCCUAUGGGAUCUGUGGGUCCCUCUAUGGGUCACUAUGGGAUCUGUGGGUCCCUCUAUGGGUCCCUAUGGGAUCUAUAGGUCCCUCUAUGGGUCCCUAUGGGAUCUAUGGGUCCCACCCACAGAAGAAUCACCCUCCACCCCCCUGGAAGUUGUGCCUUCAGCCCACCUGAAGCCCCGCCCCCCUCCCCCCGGAAGUCCCGCCCCCCUCCUCCAGAAGCCCUGCCCCCGUCCUCCUGGAAGUCCC
Molecule: long non-coding RNA, 1716 nt
Organism: Phasianus colchicus (ring-necked pheasant)
Lineage: Eukaryota; Metazoa; Chordata; Aves; Galliformes; Phasianidae
Source: Ensembl